Long non-coding RNA from Hibiscus syriacus, 399 nucleotides. RefSeq lists it as uncharacterized. The record is from RefSeq and is a predicted model, not a curated record. The transcript is spliced from 2 exons. NCBI's taxonomy places the organism in Eukaryota, Viridiplantae, Streptophyta, Magnoliopsida, Malvales, Malvaceae.
CAUGAAGAGCCGGAAAGUUCUAGGUCACCAGCAGUUGGUCAUGGAGUGUGUCGAGCAGUUAGGCUGCAUGUUCAAGCCUGAUUUCAAGGCGAUCAAGAAGAGAAUCGAGGACCUAAUUACUCGAGACUAUCUCGAGAGGGACAAAGAUAACCCCAAAAUGUUCAGGUACUUGGCGUGACGUGGGCUAUACUAAAUUAUCCUGAUGAAAGGGUGACCAUUUUGCUGCUGCAAAUAGCUCGAAACAGUUAGACGAGGUCGGUUUGCAGCUAAAGUGGCAUAUAAAGAUCAAUAAGAUGCCACCAGAUGAGUUGCUUUUGAUGAUUUUGCUUAGCAGGAGCUGAGAUGCUUGUACAGAAAGAGCCAGGUUUGGCCAAGUUGUAAAAUUCCGAAACCAACCGG